AACGAACGCUGGCGGCGCGCCUAAUACAUGCAAGUCGAGCGAGAAGACGUAGCAAUACGUUUGUAAAGCGGCGAACGGGUGAGGAAUACAUGGGUAACCUACCCUCGAGUGGGGAAUAACUAGCCGAAAGGUUAGCUAAUACCGCGUACGCUCCUUGGACUUCGGUUCAGGGAGGAAAGCGAUACCGUGGGUAUCGCGCUCUUGGUUGGGCUCAUGUCCUAUCAGCUUGUUGGUGAGGAACGGCUCACCAAGGCUUCGACGGGUAGCUGGUCUGAGAGGACGAUCAGCCACACUGGCACUGCGACACGGGCCAGACUCCUACGGGAGGCAGCAGUAAGGAAUAUUGCGCAAUGGGCGAAAGCCUGACGCAGCGACGCCGCGUGGGGGAUGAAAGUCUUCGGGAUUGUAAACCCCCUUUCGGGAGGGAAGAUGGAACGAGCAAUCGUUCGGACGGUACCUCCAGAAGCAGCCACGGCUAACUUCGUGCCAGCAGCCGCAGUAAU
This 503-nucleotide ribosomal RNA is filed under the name uncultured bacterium. RNAcentral's name for it is "bacterial SSU rRNA". It matches the Rfam family "Bacterial small subunit ribosomal RNA", at positions 29 to 524 of the family's 1533-position model. The record is from RNAcentral.